RNAcentral lists this ribosomal RNA (305 nucleotides) under uncultured bacterium. Its description in RNAcentral is "bacterial SSU rRNA". It matches the Rfam family "Bacterial small subunit ribosomal RNA", at positions 337 to 638 of the family's 1533-position model. The record is from RNAcentral.
GCCUACGGGGGGCAGCAGGGAAUUUUCGUCAAUGGGCGCAAGCCUGAACGAGCAAUGCCGCGUGAACGAGGAAGGUCUUCGGAUCGUAAAGUUCUGUUGAAGGGGAAAAAGAGCGGAGAGAGGAAAUGCUUUCUGAUUGAUAUUACCCUUCGAGGAAGUCACGGCUAACUACGUGCCAGCAGCCGCGGUAAUACGUAGGUGGCGAGCGUUAUCCGGAAUGAUUGGGCGUAAAGGGUGCGUAGGCGGCCUGCUAAGUCUGGAGUGAAAGGUACCGGCUCAACCGGUACAGGCUCUGGAAACUGGCG